Molecule: ribosomal RNA, 1344 nt
Filed under: uncultured bacterium
Lineage: Bacteria
Description: 16S ribosomal RNA
Rfam family: Bacterial small subunit ribosomal RNA
Source: RNAcentral
GUUUAGCGGCGAACGGGUGAGUAAUAAGUACAAACAUGCCCCUUUGUAGGACAUAGUCCGCCGAAAGGCGGGGUAAUUUCCUAUAGUAUCUUCGGAUUAAAGACGCAAGUCGCGAAGGGAUUGGUGUACUCGCUACCAGCUUGUUGGUGAGGUAAUGGCUCACCAAGGCUAUGACGGCUACCGGCUCUUAGCGGAGAGUCCGGCACAAUGGGACUGAGACACGGCCCAUACUUCUACGGAAGGCAGCAGUUAGGAAUUUUGCGCAAUGGACGAAAGUCUGACGCAGCGACAUCGCGUGUGGGAUGACAGCCUUAGGGUUGUAAACCACUUUUUGAGAGCCAUGAAGGCGCCCAGAAUAAAGAACUACUAACUACGUGCCAGCAGUCGCGGUAAUACGUAGGUUCCGAGCGUUACCCGGAUUUAUUGGGCGUAAAGGGUCUGCAGGUGGUUUUCUAAGUCUUGUUUCAAAGUCCCCGACUUAAUCGGGGGAAGGGGCAGGAUACUGGAAGACUAGAGUUAUAUCGGGGUUACUGGAAUUUGUGGUGUAGGGGUAAAAUCCGUGGAUACCACAAAGAACACCAAGCGCGAAGGCGGGUAACUAGGUAUAUACUGACACUCAUAGACGAAAGCUAGGGUAGCCAAUCAGAUUAGAGACCUGAGUAGUCCUAGCCGUAAACAUUGUCUGUUAAUUUUCCCCCUUUUUGGGAGGAGAUGCUAGCUAACGCGUUAAACAGACCGCCUGGGGAGUAUAGCCGCAAGGCCGAAACUCAAACGAAUUGGCGGGGAGGCGCACAACCAGUGGAGCAUGUGGUUUAAUUCGAUACGAAGCGAUAAACCUUACCCGGGUUUGAAAUGUACCUGCAAGCCCCCAGAAACGGGGGAAUCUUUCGAAGGUGGUACACAGCUGUUGCAUGGCUGUCGUCAGCUCGUGACGUGAGUUGUUCUCUUAAGUGAGGUAACGAGCGCAACCCCUAUCGUAUGUUACUGUAUCAUACGAGACUGCCCAGCAUUAUUUUGUUGGGAGGAAGGAGGGGACGACGUCAAGUCAUCAUGAUGCUUAUAUCCGGGGCUACACACAUCCUACAAUGGGUUGUACAGAGGGUUGCAAUACCGCGAGGUGGAGCUAAUCCCUAAAACAAUCCUCAGUUGGGAUUGCAGGCUGAAAUUCGCCUGCAUGAACUUGGAAUUGGUAGUAAUCGCAAAUCAGCAGAUUGCGGUGAAUACGUUCUCGCCUCUUGCACACACUGCCCGUCAAAUCAACAAAGUUGAGGGUACCCAAUACCUCUGAUUCGUCAGGGACUAAGGUAAAUUCAGCGAUGAGGGUUAAGUCGUAACAAGGUAACC